This 203-nucleotide ribosomal RNA is filed under the name uncultured bacterium. Its description in RNAcentral is "partial 16S ribosomal RNA". It matches the Rfam family "Bacterial small subunit ribosomal RNA", at positions 524 to 726 of the family's 1533-position model. The record is from RNAcentral.
UACGUAGGGUGCAAGCGUUAAUCGGAAUUACUGGGCGUAAAGCGUGCGCAGGCGGUUCGGAAAGAAAGAUGUGAAAUCCCAGGGCUCAACCUUGGAACUGCAUUUUUAACUACCGAACUAGAGUAUGUCAGAGGGGGGUGGAAUUCCACGUGUAGCAGUGAAAUGCGUAGAUAUGUGGAGGAACACCGAUGGCGAAGGCAGCC